GACGAACGCUGGCGGCGUGCUUAACACAUGCAAGUCGAACGGAAAGGCCCGCCACCUUGGUGGUGGGUACUCGAGUGGCGAACGGGUGAGUAACACGUGGGUGAUCUGCCCCGCACUGUGGGAUAAGCCUGGGAAACUGGGUCUAAUACCACAUACGACCAUGGCGUAGGGGUCAUGGUGGAAAGCUUUAUUGCGGUGUGGGAUGAGCCCGCGGCCUAUCAGCUUGUUGGUGGGGUAAUGGCCUACCAAGGCGGCGACGGGUAGCCGGCCUGAGAGGGUGGACGGCCACAUUGGGACUGAGACACGGCCCAGACUCCUACGGGAGGCAGCAGUGGGGAAUAUUGCACAAUGGGCGCAAGCCUGAUGCAGCGACGCCGCGUGGGGGAUGGAAGGCCUUCGGGUUGUAAACUCCUUUCGCCCGGGACGAAGCCCACCUGGUGGGGACG
Molecule: ribosomal RNA, 446 nt
Filed under: Corynebacterium durum
Lineage: Bacteria; Bacillati; Actinomycetota; Actinomycetes; Mycobacteriales; Corynebacteriaceae
Description: bacterial SSU rRNA
Rfam family: Bacterial small subunit ribosomal RNA
Source: RNAcentral